This 497-nucleotide ribosomal RNA is filed under the name uncultured bacterium. Its description in RNAcentral is "bacterial SSU rRNA". It matches the Rfam family "Bacterial small subunit ribosomal RNA", at positions 899 to 1397 of the family's 1533-position model. The record is from RNAcentral.
ACUCAAAGGAAUUGACGGGGGCCCGCACAAGCGGCGGAGCAUGCGGCUUAAUUCGAUGCAACGCGAAGAACCUUACCUAGGCUUGACAUAUAGCGUUUACCGGCAGAGAUGUCGGGUCCUUCGGGGCGCUAUACAGGUGGUGCAUGGCUGUCGUCAGCUCGUGUCGUGAGAUGUUGGGUUAAGUCCCGCAACGAGCGCAACCCUCGUUCUAUGUUGCCAGCAAGUAAUGUUGGGGACUCAUAGGAGACUGCCGGGGUCAACUCGGAGGAAGGUGGGGACGACGUCAAGUCAUCAUGCCCCUUAUGUCUAGGGCUGCACGCAUGCUACAAUGGCUGGUACAAAGGGCUGCAAGACCGCAAGGUGGAGCGAAUCCCAUAAAGCCAGUCUCAGUUCGGAUUGGGGUCUGCAACUCGACCCCAUGAAGUUGGAGUCGCUAGUAAUCGCAGAUCAGCAACGCUGCGGUGAAUACGUUCCCGGGCCUUGUACACACCGCCCGU